GAGCUCCGGAAGAUAGAGCAGAUGUGAACAACAGAAAGAGGGCCUCUCUCAGGCUGCUUGAUGAAAACUGAAGCCCACUGGAAAAGUGAAGAGAAUCUCUGCAACAAAGGCACAUCAGACCACCUUGGUUGGAGAGGGACACCAGUUGAGAUGUUGUUUAAAGCUUGUUGGGUAUAGUUACUUAAGGCUUUGCUGUGAUGAAAGACACCUUCUAGACUUGGUAAAGGAAGAAAGACAGAAGCCAAAUGAUCGUACCAAUGAAACACACUUCUAGACCAUCAUUUUCAUAGAUGGGCACCUGGUAGGUCCAGCCUUCUUCCUGUUUCACAGAAAGUCAAAAAGGAAGCCCUGCACAGCAGGCUGCCUGUCCCAUGGAACUACACUGAAUCAUCAGUAGGAGCCAGAAGCUGACCCAGCAACCCGGACUUCCAGCCCAGAGUGGUCACCACAGGCUCCUGGAAAGCCAGAAAGCAGAGGCUUCAGAAUGAGUCUGAGUCCAUCCAAUACCAUGUGGUUUGCUCAAAGAACCUUUUAUUUACUUUAAAAUACAGAUGUAUAGAGAGCUGCGUGCCCUCCAACAUAUGUGAAACAGCCUCAGUUUCAGAUGAUCUGCAAAACCCCAAAUUGUCCCCAUUAGGUUCCCAGGAAUUUCUUUGCCAAGCUAUACUGGACUUUAAAUCCCACUGCCUGGACAGCCUCCACAGAACAAUGCCUGACAUCCUCAGGCUCUCAGCAGA
This 737-nucleotide long non-coding RNA is filed under the name Fukomys damarensis (Damara mole-rat). Its description in RNAcentral is "lncRNA (ENSFDAG00000028632.1)". Lineage: Eukaryota; Metazoa; Chordata; Mammalia; Rodentia; Bathyergidae. The record is from RNAcentral.